ACGAAGGGGGCUAGCGUUGUUCGGAAUUACUGGGCGUAAAGCGCACGUAGGCGGAUAUUUAAGUCAGGGGUGAAAUCCCGGAGCUCAACUCCGGAACUGCCUUUGAUACUGGAUAUCUAGAGACCGAGAGAGGUAAGUGGAACUCCUAGUGUAGAGGUGGAAUUCGUAGAUAUUAGGAAGAACACCAGUGGCGAAGGCGGCUUACUGGCUCGGAACUGACGCUGAGGUGCGAAAGCGUGGGGAGCAAACAGG
RNAcentral lists this ribosomal RNA (252 nucleotides) under uncultured bacterium. RNAcentral's name for it is "partial 16S ribosomal RNA". It matches the Rfam family "Bacterial small subunit ribosomal RNA", at positions 525 to 776 of the family's 1533-position model. The record is from RNAcentral.